CAAAAACAUCGCCUCCCGCAAAAAUCAACGUAUAGGAGGUCUUGCCUGCCCAGUGACUGUAAGUUAAACGGCCGCGGUAUUUUGACCGUGCAAAGGUAGCGCAAUCACUUGUCUUUUAAAUGAAGACCUGUAUGAAUGGUAGAACGAGGGCUUAACUGUCUCCCCCCUCCCGUCAAUGAAAUUGAUCUACCCGUGCAGAAACGGGUAUAAUAAUACAAGACGAGAAGACCCUUUGGAGCUUAAGAUAAAAGACCAACUAUGUCAAAAGUCCCAAAAAAGACUAAACCAAGUAGCACUGGUCCCAAUCUUCGGUUGGGGUGACCACGGGAGAAAACAAAGCUCCCACGCGGACUGGGGCAGCCCCCUAAAACUAAGAAAGACAUCUCUAAGGCACAGAAUAUCUGACCAAAAAGAUCCGGCUACAUGCCGACCAACGGACCAAGUUACCCUAGGGAUAACAGCGCAAUCCCCUUCCAGAGUCCAUAUCGACAAGGGGGUUUACGACCUCGAUGUUGGAUCAGGACAUCCUAAUGGUGCAGCCGCUAUUAAGGGUUC
This 555-nucleotide ribosomal RNA is filed under the name Pseudancistrus pectegenitor. RNAcentral describes it as "partial 16S ribosomal RNA". It matches the Rfam family "Bacterial large subunit ribosomal RNA", at positions 1808 to 2574 of the family's 2925-position model. The record is from RNAcentral. Lineage: Eukaryota; Metazoa; Chordata; Actinopteri; Siluriformes; Loricariidae.